GAAGUAUUAGUAAAACAAUUACAUAACCUUGUCAAGGUUAAAUUAUAGGUUUAAGCCUGUGUACUUCC
This 68-nucleotide transfer RNA is filed under the name Panthera spelaea (Eurasian cave lion). RNAcentral describes it as "tRNA-Asp". It matches the Rfam family "tRNA". Rfam says of the family: Transfer RNA (tRNA) molecules are approximately 80 nucleotides in length. Their secondary structure includes four short double-helical elements and three loops (D, anti-codon, and T loops). The record is from RNAcentral. Lineage: Eukaryota; Metazoa; Chordata; Mammalia; Carnivora; Felidae.